GAUGAACGCUGGCGGCGUGCCUAAUACAUGCAAGUCGAGCGAACGGACGAGAAGCUUGCUUCUCUGAUGUUAGCGGCGGACGGGUGAGUAACACGUGGAUAACCUACCUAUAAGACUGGGAUAACUUCGGGAAACCGGAGCUAAUACCGGAUAAUAUUUUGAACCGCAUGAUUCAAAAGUGAAAGACGGUCUUGCUGUCACUUAUAGAUGGAUCCGCGCUGCAUUAGCUAGUUGGUAAGGUAACGGCUUACCAAGGCAACGAUGCAUAGCCGACCUGAGAGGGUGAUCGGCCACACUGGAACUGAGACACGGUCCAGACUCCUACGGGAGGCAGCAGUAGGGAAUCUUCCGCAAUGGGCGAAAGCCUGACGGAGCAACGCCGCGUGAGUGAUGAAGGUCUUCGGAUCGUAAAACUCUGUUAUUAGGAAAGAACAUAUGUGUAAGUAACUGUGCACAUCUUGACGGUACCUAAUCAGAAAGCCACGGCUAACUACGUG
Molecule: ribosomal RNA, 497 nt
Filed under: uncultured bacterium
Lineage: Bacteria
Description: partial 16S ribosomal RNA
Rfam family: Bacterial small subunit ribosomal RNA
Source: RNAcentral